GCAUCUGGUCUCAGCAGACGCAGCGAGAACUUUCCCAGUAGAGCACUUACGUUUUCUCUUUCAUCCAGUGAGCAUUUGGUCUCUCAGCGGACGCAGUGUGAGAAAAUCUCCCGGUCAAGCUCUUAUUUUCCUCUUUCCUGUUUUCUCUUUCAUCCAGUGAGCAUUUGGUCUCUCAGUGGACGUAGUGUGAGAAAAUCUCCCGGUCAAGCUCUCAUUUUCCUCUUUCCUGUUUUCUAUUUUUUUCCAGUGAGCCUUUGGUCUCACAGCGGAGAAAGGAACAAACCAUCUGAUAGGUCGCUCCAAAUUACAACUAUUCCCCGUUGCAGGCCAGCAGGGCCCGUCAGUCCAGGUACAAUGAGCCGCUAUCACGGGCCCCCUGGCCAAACAUUCAGACCCUUUCUCGAGAUGCCAGCCCGCCAAACUCGGCACUCAUUUGGGGGGGGGUCUUUAGUUCGGCGACUAUCCUCUGCUCUUCAGCUUUUUGGGGGGAGCCCUGCCUCCGGACAGCACGCCAAAUAUGCAUUAUAUAAACUUCAGUUAAUUAUAUGUAAGUGUGAACUCGUGAAAUAAGCAUAAAUAUCAGAACUGUAAAACAGAACUAUUCUCUGGCUUUACUCCCACAAAAGCUUGAUAGACUCCAUUUAACCAUCGGAACCCGACGAGUGAAACUUCUAAGAAACCAGAUCGCAUGAAAUACAAGUUAAAGAAAUAUUAGUAGUGUAUGGAACCAGGACAAAGAUAGAAAAAUAAAUCCUGAUACAUUACC
Cyprinus carpio carpio is the source of this 766-nucleotide long non-coding RNA. NCBI's taxonomy places the organism in Eukaryota, Metazoa, Chordata, Actinopteri, Cypriniformes, Cyprinidae. The record is from Ensembl.